RNAcentral lists this long non-coding RNA (2257 nucleotides) under Homo sapiens (human). Its description in RNAcentral is "non-protein coding lnc-WAC-3:2". The stretch from base 1178 to 1325 matches the Rfam family "Metazoan signal recognition particle RNA". The record is from RNAcentral. Lineage: Eukaryota; Metazoa; Chordata; Mammalia; Primates; Hominidae.
ACUCCCAGGUGGCUGCAGACUGGAGUGUGUUUCAUGGACGAGCAACCUCCCUGAGGAGAACCCCGGAUACGCAGAGUCACCAGUAAAAUGAGCAUUCAUUCAUUAAGCCAAUCAUCAGGAAUGGAUCUAGGAAGAACCUACUGUUUACUAGAAAUAGGUUAGAUCUGUGGAUAUAACAAUGAAUAAGACAAGACUGGUGGAUCUAUAGAGAAACUAUUACUGCACAGGUGAUGGGGAAAUCAAGAGUACUAUGGGGCCAAGGAGACUGUCCUGCAGCAAAUGAGGAAUAAGCUGAAACAUCAGUAGGAGCCAUCCCAGAGAAAAGGGACAGGGUUCUAGAUCCAGAGAACAACAGAAGAGCAUUCAGCGCCUGCAAGGGAGCAGGGGAUCUAAUGCAAAGCCAUUGCAUAACCAGUCAACUUUCCCCACAUCACAAGAUUGCCUAGCCUGGAUGGCCCCAGAAUGUUGAAACAAAUGUCUAAUUAGUAACGACAUUCUGAAUGCUUGGGAGCUGAGCAAAAUAUGAGGAGAAGCAACCUGAUUUUUGUUUCAUAUUAUCAUCUCCUUUAUUCCAGCAACAAAAGACACUGAAAAUAGUAAAUGCCCACUUUCAACCAUGACAGCCCUUUUAGGAUAGUAACGGUGAGCAGUAUUAAUCCUAUUUGACCAGAACUAGGGCAGAAUUGAAGCCCCUGGAGUAGAGAUCUGUUCUAUUAGCCCCAGCCUUUCCGCCUGCUUCUUGGGAUGGCUAUCUUUACUUUAUCAGUUGAGCCUCCAGCAUUAGCAGAUACCUAUAAGGGAAGAGAUCCAGCCCUCACUAUGGAGGGCCAGAAAGAGAAAGCACCAGACAUUAGGAAAUGUCAAAGUAUCUCAGUACAUCCAGCUGAUUAGUGACAGAUAAGUCAAAAUUUGCAGCAACUAAAUAAAUCAAAAAGUAGAUUUUAAAAUGUGAUCUUUGAAAUAUUUGGCACAAUGCUUCAAAGCCACUGAAAAGCUAUCUCUUCACCCUAAUAGAGGACAGAAAUUCAUUAGAUAGACAGAAGAGGCUGCAUACAGUAGCCCAUGCCCAUAAUCUCAACAACUUUGGAGGCCAAGGUGGAAAGAUUACUUGAGGCCAGGAAAUCAACACCAGCCUGAGCAACAUAGCAAGACAUCUUUACAAAAAAUUUAAAAAUUAGCCAGGUUUGGUGGUGUGCAGCUGUAGUCCUAGCUACUCGGGAGGCUGAGGUGGGAGGAUUGCUUGAGGCCAGGAGUUCUAGGCUGCAGUGAACAGAGAUUUUGCCACUGCGUUCCAGCCUGGGCAACAGAGUAAGACCCUGUCUCUAAAAUAGAUGAUAGAUAGAUAGAGAGAGAGAGAGAGAUGAUAGAUAAUAGAUAGUUGAUAGAUAGAUGAUAGAUAAUAGAUAGUUGAUAGAUAGAUAAUAGAUCGUUGAUUGAUAGAUUAGAUAGAUGUAUAAUAGAACCCAAAGGCAAAAAUAAGUUAGUCCUCAGGAAGACCCAGAUCGCAGACCUGAAAAGCCAGGAGGAACUCAAUGGAAUUUUUUUCCAUAGCAGGUGCUCUCUCUACACCUGUGCUCUAUUCUCCUAUUCUGAUAACCAGCCCCUGGCUCCUAUGUCCCAGUGUCAGAGAAAUGAUGUUCCAGAGCUGCACCCACAAGGACUAAAUCACCUGCCUAACCCUAACCCUAAUCAUAGAUGAUGGGGGCUGCAGGGGACCAGUAUGGCUGCCAGGGCCCAUCCCUGUUUAUGAGCAGAGGUUUCCCAGAGAAGACACACUGGGCAGAUUACCAGACACGCAUUCAUUGCACCCCUGACAUUUUCAAUCGCCAGUCAAUGAGGCUUCCUUUCUAGUUACUGAAAGUCUUCACCUGCUGUUUAUAGUAAACUGGAGACCUAGAGGCCAAGGCCGAAGGCUUGGAUGGUAAUUUCCCACAUUCUCUGGAAAUCUUUCUACUUCAGUUGGCUUCCAGACACCCAGUACCCUUGUGUGUUCCAGUUUCAAGUUGCCAUUCUUGUUCAGGUCUUCUAGUAAUUUCCUGUUUCCCUAUCUGAAGUGUACCUCCUGACAUCAAUGUAUUCAAAGAGCAAAUGCUCCUGCCAAAUCUAUGAGUGUCAGUGAACUAGCCUGCUGCUCUGGGCUCAGAUGAGACCAGCUUGCAGAACAAGCAGGACAGAGGCGUGAAGGGAAGCAGAUGGCAAACCUCGAUCUGCCACCAUCCCUUCCACAGGCAUUCCGUAUGAGGACAUCUGUCCCCAC